GCACCUGGAAAUCAUUAGAUGCCUGGAGGUUACAUGUUCAUGAGCCCUCCCUUGAAAUUUAGACAUUAUCUGUUGUGUGUUUCCUUUGAGUAUCUGCUGGUAAAGUCCAAAGACAGAGAUCUGAGAAGGUGAAAAAUAAUUCUUUGUGUCUGACCAGAACUCUCUGCAGAGGUCUCCUGUUAGUUUCUGCUACCAUCUGUUCUUCUGUUUCAACAGCACAAAACAUCAAAUAGACCUUUUUUUUAAGCCAUUGCCAAUUUCACUGAAAGGAGUACAUAAAAGAAUCAGAACAGAAUAACUGAGAAAUUUACAAGAGGAAGAGUUGCAAAAUUAUGGAAAAGCUGUUAUGUUUGUUGACAACUUUAAAUUAAAGCUCAGAUAUGCCUUUCCAAUGAUUUGUGUAAGAGAAGAAUGAAAAAGGACUAAGUGAACUUGCUUGUGUGCAUGAAGAUCAAGGCCAGUAAAAAGUCGCUGUGCUGGUCAGAAAGCAGUCUUUAAUGGCAAGAUUUACUGGGAUUGUGAAAUCAUUUCCCUGAAGGAAGCUGCUACAACAGACCCAUUGCUUGCCCCAUUUAAACAGGGCUUUCAGAUGUGCUAGGGAGUCUUGUGUAGAGAGCAAUCCUGCUGGGGCCAUGAUGUGCUGGCAGCCCUAAUGCACCUUCCCUGUUCCUGGUUUCUGCUAACCUGCUACAGCCCUUUGUGUAGCCCAGUUGGUUUGGGAAUAAAUUUAGAGUACAAUUUCUUUUGUCCUAACUAGUCUGGCUGCUUUUUGUGAUCUUCCAUUUCAUUGCCUAAAGCUGCUUCAUUUUGUCAAUUGUGAUUCAUGGAUUUCUUUAGUGUCCUCAUGCUCCAUUGUUAAUGCAUCAAGAGAAUAUAUAGGCUUCCAGAACAGCUGGAAAAGAAUAGUUCAAUACUAUUUCAGUCUCUUAACAUUCCUUUGACAUUGUGAGAAUUAUGGAAAGAGCCUUCAGAUUCUUAUUUCUGUUGCCAGCAGAAAUACUACAAGACAGUUUAGACUGGAAUUGGGAAAGUUAUGAUUUGUGAUGCCACACUAUGCCAAAAGAGGUGGGAAACAGCAUUCACUGGCACCUGCAUUUGAUGCAAAAAUUGAAAAGGAAGAGACUGGGUCAUUAUGUGCAAACCGUUUGUAUUACAGCCUCAAGUAGCUG
This is a non-coding RNA of Zonotrichia albicollis (white-throated sparrow), 1169 nucleotides long. The record is from RefSeq and is a predicted model, not a curated record. Lineage: Eukaryota; Metazoa; Chordata; Aves; Passeriformes; Passerellidae.